AACGAACGCUGGCGGCAUGCCUAACACAUGCAAGUCGAACGGGAUCCUAGCUUGCUAGGUGAGAGUGGCGGACGGGUGAGUAACACGUGGGAAUCUGCCUUUUGGUUCGGGAUAACCGCGGGAAACUGCGGCUAAUACCGAAUGCCCUCGAGAGAGGAAAGAUUUAUCGCCAGAAGAGGAGCCCGCGUCCGAUUAGGUAGUUGGUGGGGUAAAGGCCUACCAAGCCGACGAUCGGUAGCUGGUCUGAGAGGAUGAUCAGCCACACUGGACUGAGAUACGGCCCAGACUCCUACGGGAGGCAGCAGUGGGAAUAUUGGACAAUGGGGGCAACCCUGAUCCAGCAAUGCCGCGUGAGUGAUGAA
This 362-nucleotide ribosomal RNA is filed under the name uncultured bacterium. Its description in RNAcentral is "bacterial SSU rRNA". It matches the Rfam family "Bacterial small subunit ribosomal RNA", at positions 29 to 412 of the family's 1533-position model. The record is from RNAcentral.